This 72-nucleotide transfer RNA is filed under the name Cavia porcellus (domestic guinea pig). It matches the Rfam family "tRNA". From Rfam's summary of the family: Transfer RNA (tRNA) molecules are approximately 80 nucleotides in length. Their secondary structure includes four short double-helical elements and three loops (D, anti-codon, and T loops). The record is from Rfam by way of RNAcentral. Lineage: Eukaryota; Metazoa; Chordata; Mammalia; Rodentia; Caviidae.
GAGGAUAUAACUCAGUGGCACAGUGUUUGCCUAGGAAACAGAAGGUCCUGAGUUUGAUUCCCAGUAACCCCC